Long non-coding RNA from Heterocephalus glaber (naked mole-rat), 1822 nucleotides. NCBI's taxonomy places the organism in Eukaryota, Metazoa, Chordata, Mammalia, Rodentia, Bathyergidae. The record is from Ensembl.
CCUUCUGUUCCUCCUCCAGGCGGAGCCGCUCCUCUUCCUUCUUCCAUUCUGCCUCCCGCUGGGACUCCAGGCGCUUCCGCUCCUCUCUUUCAGCCUCCUCUGCCUGGCGAGAGGUCUUCAUGAGGCCACAUGCCCUAUCCAGCUACAGGGUGCCCACCUCCCAGACAGGCUAAGGAAGGCGAUGGCUGGCCAGGACACAAACCAAGGCUUUAGGAGACAGCCAGGCAAGCAGCAAACAGGAGCCCAGUGUAAAAAAAGCCCAGAAGACAGAGUUCACCCUAGGGAACACAGAAGGUAGAGGCCUUUCCUGCAUCCCAGAGCAACACCCCAUUUCUUCUGCUUGCCUCACGCUGGGCUUUUCGAGCCUGUUUCUCUUCUAGUUUCCGUAGUUUCUUGGCUCCAAUUUUCCCUGUCGAGUGAGUUUCUGCUGGCUUCUCAAUUCCUUCUUCCUCCUGAGCUGGGUAUGGUCAGAGAAAGACACUUCAGUUCCUAGCCAGAAAGGAUCCACAUCACCCCGUCCCUCUCCUCACAGGGGAAGUCUCUGCCACUCACCUUCAAAUGUUACUUGCCCCACCCCACCCCAAAAAAGUGUUACUAGCCCAGCCCUGACCUCCAGGGGCACCUGCCACAUUCACAUGUGUAUGUACUGGGAAUGGGGGUUAUAGGCAAGGGAACAGAUGAGACUUUAGACACUGCAGAGCUAUAGGAGCGAUAUGCCGCUAUCUGAAUGUCUAAGGAUCACAGAUGGAGCUGUCAGGACUUGCAGAGGUUCCUGGUUUUUGUCUCUGUGUCAAACCUCUAGGGAAGGAUGACUCUCUGGGAAUAUUCAUCCCAGUCUCAAAUCUGAAGUCUUCCCCACUCUAGUCAGGAAUUGCUGAAUGUUCUAGGCUCAGCCGCUGACCAAGAUUAUUCUGUCCCACCAGUGCCAGGCUAAAAAGACAGUACUAACCCUGGGACUACACCAGGGCCAGCUGAAAGGAAAAGAUCCACUGAUGCCUGAACAGAUGUGGUAUGUGACUCCAAAUCUGGGACAGGAGGGAUGGUACACAAAUGAUCUCCUUUUGAGUCAAAGGGACUAACUCCAGGGGUUCAAGGCAAAAAUGCCCAAUGUCCCCUGGGAAAGGCCCAGAGGUCUCUCUUUGGUUUUAAGACAACUGUUAAGUACUGGAGAAGUGACACUCUUUCUCAUAACCCUAAGGGCUCUGUUGGUCUCCCAGAAGCAGGGAUACGCAGGUCUCUAUGUCAACAGAAUGUCUCUGUCCUCAAACCCUUCUUCUGGAGUUACAGUGAUCCCAUUCCAGGAAGGGGGAUAUAAGGGAUAUAAGGGGUGGACUGAGGCACAUUCCAGGUCAAUCUGAAGAUCCUUAGCCUCCUGCUUGGACACCAAGAGCCAAGAUGAAGGAAGAGGGAGUUUCCUCAAUGGAACAGGGAUCAGGGCUUAGAACUCCUCUCCAUGACCAAGUUCAUGUCCCAAGCCUCCACCCACUCUACCCAGUAAUUCCUAGCUUCCCUCUUGCUGCGACUUCAUACUCUACUCCUUCAUCAAAGUUUGGGGCUCAUUCAUCCUCCUCAAUGCAGUCCUCUUUCCCACCAGGCUGGGUCCCUUUCACCUGGGAUGUCAGUUUCGUCCUCAUUCUCAUCCACUUCUGUCCAAGCCACCCGCUGGGCUGGGCGAUGAGCCUGCAGGUGGCUGCCCAGGUCCCUCCGGGCGCCGGGGUCUGCCUCCAGCUCUCUGCUCUUCUGCCUCCAGGAGCCGUGACGGGUCCACCCCGAGCUGCUACUCCUGGCACCUCCUCAUUGUGCUGUAGCUCUUGACCAGCUU